UGAACAGCUCGCUCUGUACUCGGAGGCACUGAAAUUUUUUUUUUUUUGGGGGUUUUGUUUCGUGAUUUAGUUCUAGGGUUUUGAAUUUUCUUUGAUAAAUUUUCGAUAUUUUUUAAUUUUUUUGGCCCAAUGAUGGACAACAAUGAAAUUCAUUGACCGGUUUGCUAAAGCUAAAGGGAUUUUGUUCAAUCAUUAGCCUUAACUCACCACUGCCGGCAUCAUCUCCGCCACCGCCACCUCCUUCUCUUUUUGCAUAAAUACAUACAUACACACACAUAUACGUGCAUUUUGUUUUGUGUGGUGGUGUGUAAAGGCUUUUGAAGAACGGGCCUUUAGCUCUAAGCUCCUGAUGAUUGCUUCUAAGCUAUGAGAUCUGAGGGCUUUCGCUUUCUCUUCCACAUGCACUUUAAAACCAUACAUUGACUUUACGAAAUCUUUUAAUUUUAUUUUAGUCUUUCAACUGAAUGUUGAUGAUACGUGUACCGGGUUCUUUAGCAUUUUUUAACUUCUUUAUUGAUGGAAAUCUGCAGCUUUGAAAGCGGUAUAUGAUAACUAUUCGAGUAUGAUUUGCACCUGUUUAAGGUAGUUUCUUCCUUAAUUGCAUAAUGGUGUUAAUUUACCGAACAAGUUAGAUCCAGACAUAUUACGGUUGACAAAUUCGGAUGUUGUGUUGAAUGGUCGGGCGACUUGUGGGUAUAUGAAAAUUUGUCACCUUCUUUAUUAAAAUUGCUCUUUUUUGAAAAAAAAAAAAGAAAUUUCCCCGUGAUUAUUUCUCUGUUGUGAAUUUCUAAUAGGUUCUAUGUUUAUAGCCAUUUAACUGAUAGUUUGUUAAAAGUUGGUAUGCAUUUUAACCAUUUUUUGGUAUACUCUUGCCCAAUGAUGGAAAACUCAUAGUGUGGAGUGGUAGCAUGGAUUGUCGUUUUGAGCCUUUACUUCAUUUUUUUUAUAAGUGCCAUCAAUCAUCAUAAUCAAUCUAUCAUCUUUACUUUCUUUAUCUCUCUUUCUCUCUCUUUCUAUUCUUUCUAUCUCUCUAUGGGUCUAUCUAUCUUCCUGUUACAAUGGAUAAUGAUAUGUAAGGGCUCUUAAUGAGAACCAUUUUUCUAUACCAUGAAUGACCGACUAUAGCUAUGAGAUCUGAGGGCUAUUAGUUUUUAGAAGUUUUAUGUCAUUUUUCGAUGCCUCUGAAUCUUAGAGGUGUUUUACUCUCUGACUAUUUCUCUAGUUUUGGUAUUUUAAAGGACUAAAGAACUCAAUCAGUUAAUUGAAGUGUUAAAUGAUGGCCUCUUCAUAUGUUUUAUCCUGUCACUAUUUCAUUUGUAGUCGUGCUUAUUUCCACGUUUGGUGUUAUGCUUCCAUUGCUAAAUUUUCAAAUUUUCGUUUAACAUGGAACAUUUUUUUGCAUUAGCUAUGUUUGCUUUUCUUAUUUAGGUUCCAGCUACUAUACUUCACACGUCUUUGUUUUCCCCUACUUAUAUUAUUUGAGUAUUAAUGGUUUACUUAGGAAUUGUGUGAGUUUCAAUGUAAAGCCUGCAUAUAUGGGGGUUAUUCUUUGCUUUUACAGGGUAAAGUUCUUUAAAUUCUUUUACAUCUGCCCAAAGAUGGGAACUUAUUAAAUAGGAUGGAUGCUUUAAUUUUAAUUAUGGCCUCCAUCAUCCCUUGUCAAAUUCUCCCAGCAUUACAGGUGGUUGCGGUUGUUGCUGUUGCCAUUCUUUCCAUUUCUCUAUAUAAUUGGUGCUGUGGAUGGGCUUUUAACUGAAAUCUUGAACUUCACCAUCUGUGAAUUAUGAUUUUGGUGUUCUUUUGAUCACCAUUUAAGAUGAGGGAUGGCUUUCAUUGAAAACCUUUGCCGUGAAUUGCAUGGUUUUGGGUAGGAGAUCUGAGGCCUAUGCUCAUGUAAAUUUUAUUUUUAUUACUUUUAUACAAACUGUAUGAGCUUGAACAUGGAAGCUCAUGUUGCAAUAUUUGAUAAUGGGAUUAUGGUAUCUUCAUGAAUAAUGGAUCUUAUGAAUGCCCAAUGAUGGAAAAUUGAAUUGUAUAGAGUCGCUGCAUGGUUUCUCAAUACUCACUACAUGCCACCGUUCCCUUUCUCUCUCUCUCUCUCUCGCACGCGCUUGCACUUUGUCAUCAUCUUUCUUUCGUUCUUUCUUUUCUUUGAGACUGUCAGCCAUUCCAAGUUUCUGUUUAUUGGGUGGUAUGUAAGGGUGUUGAUGAAUGCCACUAGCAUUAAACUAUAUACAAGCUGUUUGUAGCUUUGAGAUCUGAGGGCUUAUCUUUUCACCACGAAAUUAUCAAUCCAUUUGUGAAGUAAAAUUUUCAUGCUAAUGAAGUUAUAGAAAUUCUAGUUUGUAAAUUGUUUUGUGAAGCAACAGCAUUUAAAACUAAGUUUCUCCCACUGUUUUUAGAUGACCGAUCGUGAUUUAAAUUUUGUUGCUUUCAGUUUAACUGAGUUGAAAGUGAUUGCUGUUUUCCGAUAUGAAGAAAAAUUGCAGCUCUAAUGUGCCCUUGGGAGACCAGGGAAAGCUUCAGUGUUUGAACAGGGGAUAUUGCUUCUAUUGCUUUAAUUGAUAAAAUUAUUCCUUUUUUUGGU
Molecule: long non-coding RNA, 2587 nt
Organism: Mangifera indica (mango)
Lineage: Eukaryota; Viridiplantae; Streptophyta; Magnoliopsida; Sapindales; Anacardiaceae
Exons: 2
Source: RefSeq, a predicted model, not a curated record